Long non-coding RNA from Diabrotica virgifera virgifera (western corn rootworm), 1114 nucleotides. RefSeq lists it as uncharacterized. The record is from RefSeq and is a predicted model, not a curated record. NCBI's taxonomy places the organism in Eukaryota, Metazoa, Arthropoda, Insecta, Coleoptera, Chrysomelidae. The transcript has 2 exons.
UGCCCGGAAUAGGUCGGUCAGCUGUGUAAGCUGCAGUACCCGAAAUGGCGGGUUGAUAAUUUCAAUUUUAGUUAGUAAAGCCUUUUAGUUCACCAGUGAGAGAAAAAUACUCCUUGUUUUCUGGAGUAGGGAUUGAAGUACUUCGAUGGAACCUCACUAAAAUCAAUCCGCCUUUUGGGGAAAUAAUAUAAAGCGACAUGAGAAAUCAUAGACCCUCACCCACCUGAGAGGAACCUAUUCCGGCUACAUAGUCAGUCACCUGGGAGCAAGCGAAGCGUUCCAGCUUCAUUUUCUGUCUACAGCUGUGCUUACAGGAAGCAUGGUUUGGCACUAUCCUCGUGCUCAUUUUCUGGGAACCUUUUGGUUAUACAUUUGAGGAAUGGAUUGGUUUGGGAACACUCAGUUUGGUGAUUUGAGUAACUUUUGUGUUCUAUAUUUCGGACUUUUGGUAAUGCACUAUGUUUAUUAAUUAUUUUUUUCAGAUUUAGCGUACCUUUGUUUUUAUAUGACAUAUUUGUAUAUUAUUGUAUUUGGUUCCCAAACUUUGUAUCUACGGUAACUUCUUGUGCACAGGAAUAAGCCUAGAGAAAAUUAGGUUUUUAAUACUUUAUUAUUGCUUUGAUAUUGGUUUAUGUAAUUCGGGUAAAUUUAUUUUGUAAUAUUGCUUGCUUGUUUCCCAAAUAUUUUAUUGUUAUUCGCUUUAUUCCAUUUGUUCGGUUAAUUUAGGUCAUCGUCGGUAUUUAUCUCAACUUCAUUUCUAUAACUUUCAUUCAUUGUAUAUUUAACUUUGCUUAGUUCAUUUAGUAUUUUCCCUUAGUUAGGCUCAUGCCUAUUUAUAUAUAUUUAUUUGCAUUAUUUUCAUCUUCGUCGGUUUCAAUUCAGUUGUACGUAGCAAGCGUACUAUAACCAUUUGGUAGAAGACUCAUGUUAGUUGUACCCUAUAUGUAAGAGGUAUUUAUAUAAUUUUGUAAUAGAUAACAUUAUUGUAGUUAUCUCAAAUAUAACUUUUUGUAUAACUUAUGUCAUUUUAGAGUCACAUGAUAUGCACUUUGUGUAACUCAGAGAUUGUCAACGAUCUAGUAGUUAUUUUUAAUAAAUAUUUACUUAUUUUGUA